AUUGAACGCUGGCGGCAGGCCUAACACAUGCAAGUCGAGCGAGCGGCGGACGGGGGAGUAAUGUCUGGGAAACUGCCUGAUGGAGGGGGAUAACUACUGGAAACGGUAGCUAAUACCGCAUACCAUCAGAUGUGCCCAGCUGGGUGUAGCUAGUGGGUGGUGUAACGGCUCACCUAGGCGACGAUCCCUAGCUGGGCUGAGAGGAUUACCAGCCACACUGGAACUGAGAGACUGUCCAGACGCCUCCGGGAGGCAGCAGUGGGGAAUUUUGCACAAUGGGCGCAAGCCUGAUGCAGCCAUGCCGCGUGUUUGAAGAAGGCCUUCGGGUUGUAAAGCACUUUCAGCGGGGAGGCGUUACCCGCAGAAGAAGCACCGGCUAACUCCGUGCCAGCCGCCGCGGUAAUAC
RNAcentral lists this ribosomal RNA (406 nucleotides) under uncultured bacterium. RNAcentral's name for it is "partial 16S ribosomal RNA". It matches the Rfam family "Bacterial small subunit ribosomal RNA", at positions 30 to 526 of the family's 1533-position model. The record is from RNAcentral.